UACGUAGGGGGCAAGCGUUGUCCGGAUUUAUUGGGCGUAAAGAGCGUGUAGGCGGCCAGGUAGGUCCGUUGUGAAAACUGGAGGCUUAACCUCCAGCUGUCGAUGGAAACCAUCUGGCUAGAGUCCGGAAGAGGUGAGUGGAAUUCCCAGUGUAGCGGUGAAAUGCGCAGAUAUCAGGAGGAACACCGGUGGCGAAGGCGGGUCUCUGGGCCGAUACUGACGCUGAGGAGCGAAAGCGUGGGGAGCGAACAGG
This 253-nucleotide ribosomal RNA is filed under the name uncultured bacterium. Its description in RNAcentral is "partial 16S ribosomal RNA". It matches the Rfam family "Bacterial small subunit ribosomal RNA", at positions 524 to 776 of the family's 1533-position model. The record is from RNAcentral.